GAUGAACGCUAGCGAUAGGCUUAACACAUGCAAGUCGAGGGGCAGCAUUAUUUUAGCUUGCUAAGAUAGAUGGCGACCGGCGCACGGGUGCGUAACGCGUAUGCAACCUGCCUGUAAUUAGGGAAUAACCCGGUGAAAGUCGGACUAAUACCCUAUAUUCUUCUUUCUCCGCAUGGGGGAGGACGGAAAGAUUUAUUGAUUACAGAUGGGCAUGCGUCCCAUUAGCUCGUUGGUAAGGUAACGGCUUACCAAGGCAACGAUGGGUAGGGGGACUGAGAGGUUGACCCCCCACACUGGUACUGAGACACGGACCAGACUCCUACGGGAGGCAGCAGUGAGGAAUAUUGGUCAAUGGGCGAGAGCCUGAACCAGCCAAGUCGCGUGAAGGACGACGGUUCUAUGGAUUGUAAACUUCUUUUGUAGAGGAAUAACGGCAGCUACGUGUAGCUGAGAUGCAUGUACUCUACGAAUAAGUAUCGGCUAA
This 484-nucleotide ribosomal RNA is filed under the name Porphyromonas endodontalis. Its description in RNAcentral is "bacterial SSU rRNA". It matches the Rfam family "Bacterial small subunit ribosomal RNA", at positions 28 to 500 of the family's 1533-position model. The record is from RNAcentral. Lineage: Bacteria; Pseudomonadati; Bacteroidota; Bacteroidia; Bacteroidales; Porphyromonadaceae.